Molecule: long non-coding RNA, 431 nt
Organism: Bos taurus (domestic cattle)
Lineage: Eukaryota; Metazoa; Chordata; Mammalia; Artiodactyla; Bovidae
Source: Ensembl
CUCUUGUUCAAAUGCAGAUUCUGACUCCUCCCCCUUCAGGAGGGGCCUGGGAGGCCUCAACUCUAAGGAGCUCCAGGUGAUGCUGGUCAGCACCCACCCCCUCUAGCAAGCCAGGUGGGAUAACCACGAUAGAGGACGGGACACUUCCGGAAACCCAGCAUGCUCCCAAGGCAGCCGGUUCUGGCCCCUCUUGCAGCCCUCUUUCAGCCACUGCUUCCUUCCCGUCCCUGCCAAAAACAGCACCAGCGUCAGGCCCUGUCUCUGCUGCAGCCCUGUGCCCAUGCUCUCCUCUAGGAGACUGUCUCGGGUUCCUUUGAGAUGAAAGAAAUGCCCGGUUAAAUUUGAACUGAGUAUAUUCAUUGGAUUAAUCAUCUAGUGUGUCUAUUGGGACUGACAAAAACGACGACAAUUUUUUCUCUGAAAUUCAAAUG